Molecule: ribosomal RNA, 1990 nt
Filed under: Bacteroides fragilis
Lineage: Bacteria; Pseudomonadati; Bacteroidota; Bacteroidia; Bacteroidales; Bacteroidaceae
Also listed under: 1 other name
Description: partial 23S ribosomal RNA
Rfam family: Bacterial large subunit ribosomal RNA
Source: RNAcentral
CUGGAAAGUCGCGCCAUAGACGGUGAUAGCCCGGUAUUCUAAGGUAACUGAAGCGUAGUGGUAUCCUGAGUAGCGCGGAGCACGAGGAAUUCUGCGUGAACCAGCCGGGACCAUCCGGUAAGGCUAAAUACUCCCGAGAGACCGAUAGCGAACCAGUACUGUGAAGGAAAGGUGAAAAGCACUUCGAAUAGAAGAGUGAAAUAGUCCCUGAAACCAUGCGCCUACAAGCGGUCGGAGCAGCUUAUGCUGUGACGGCGUGCCUUUUGCAUAAUGAACCUACGAGUUACUUUUUCCGGCAAGGUUAAGCAUCUUGAGAUGUGGAUCCGAAGCGAAAGCGAGUCUGAACAGGGCGGAUAGUCGGAAGGAGUAGACGCGAAACCAAGUGAUCUACCCUUGGGCAGGUUGAAGGUUAGGUAACACUAACUGGAGGACCGAACCGAUAAGCGUUGAAAAGCUUCCGGAUGACCUGAGGGUGGGGGUGAAAGGCUAAUCAAACUUGGAGAUAGCUCGUACUCCCCGAAAUGCAUUUAGGUGCAGCCUUGAGAAUUACUAAUGUGAGGUAGAGCGACUGAUAAGAUGCGAGGGCUUCACCGCCUAUCAAGUCUUGAUAAACUCCGAAUGCGCAUUAGUUCGAUCUCAGGAGUGAGGGCAUGGGUGCUAAGGUCCAUGUCCUAAAGGAGAAGAAUCCAGACCAUCAGCUAAGGUCCCCAAAUAAACACUAAGUUGAACUAACGAAGUCAGAUUGCUAAGACAGCUAGGAUGUUGGCUUGGAAGCAGCCAUUCAUUUAAAGAGUGCGUAACAGCUCACUAGUCGAGGAGUUUGGCGUGGAUAAUAAUCGGGCAUUAAGUGUUUUACCGAAGCUAUGGGAUACGUAAGUAUCGGUAGGGGAGCAUUCCACUCUGCGUUGAAGGCGAAGCGUGAGCUUUACUGGAGCGUGUGGAAAAGCAAAUGUAGGUAUAAGUAACGAUAAAGGGGGUGAGAAACCCCCUCGCCGCAAGACUAAGGUUUCCUGAUCAACGCUAAUCGGAUCAGGGUUAGUCGGGUCCUAAGGCUCAGCCGAACGGUGAUGCCGAUGGCAGAACAGGUUAAUAUUCCUGUACUAGCAUUAAGAGUGACGUGGAGACGGAGGAGUGACAACGCCGCGGACUGACGGAAUAGUCCGUUAAAGGGUGUAGAUGUUGAUUGUCCCAGGCAAAUCCGGGAUAAGAGUCGAACCUGAUAGUAUACCAAUUUCCUCGGAAAACGGUAAUAGUGCGUGUAAACAUACUCCCAAGAAAAUCCGCUAAACUUAAUCUUAAUGGUACCCGUACCGCAAACGGACACACGUAGUCGGGUUGAAUAUACUCAGGCGCUUGAGUGAAUCACGGUUAAGGAACUAGGCAAAUUGACCCUGUAACUUCGGGAUAAAGGGUCCCUACCCGGUGACGGGAGGGCGCAGAGAAUAGGUCCAGGCAACUGUUUAACAAAAACACAGGGCUGUGCAAAAUUGAAAGAUCACGUAUACAGCCUGACACCUGCCCGGUGCUGGAAGGUUAAGAGGAGAUGUCAUCGCAAGAGAAGCAUUGAAUUGAAGCCCCAGUAAACGGCGGCCGUAACUAUAACGGUCCUAAGGUAGCGAAAUUCCUUGUCGGGUAAGUUCCGACCUGCACGAAUGGUGUAAUGAUCUGGACACUGUCUCAACCGUGAGCUCAGUGAAAUUGUAGUAUCGGUGAAGAUGCCGAUUACCCGCGAUGGGACGAAAAGACCCCGUGAACCUUUACUAUAGCUUAACAUUGAAUUUGGGUAAUUGAUGUGUAGGAUAGGCCGGAGACUUUGAAGCAGGUACGCCAGUAUUUGUGGAGUCGCUGUUGAAAUACGGCCCUUUGAUUAUUUGAGUUCUAACUCGCAGUUGCGAGGACACUGUUUGGUGGGUAGUUUGACUGGGGUGGUCGCCUCCAAAAGUGUAACGGAGGCUUCUAAAGGUGCCCUCACGCCGAUUGGUAACCGGCG